RNAcentral lists this long non-coding RNA (266 nucleotides) under Lathyrus oleraceus (garden pea). RNAcentral's name for it is "Pisum sativum (pea) long non-coding RNA (PSAT_LNC034905)". Lineage: Eukaryota; Viridiplantae; Streptophyta; Magnoliopsida; Fabales; Fabaceae. The record is from RNAcentral.
UAAAAGAAAGCACUUGAAUAUUGUAUCGGAAUUUUGUUGUGUCUUUAUUCUUGUAAUGAUGUACAUAUAUAUAUAAGAGUACAAGAAUCUGUAUACUAAUUGCCUAUAAUUGUCUAGUCUAUAAUUGCCUAUAAUAGAGAUCCUAUUUUAAAUACAAUUAUGAUACAAUUUUCUGAUAUACUUUGACAGCUAUAUGGAUAUGCAUUGCCAUCAUGUUUACACGCCUAUAGCAGUUAUAUUGCCAGCACAUGUUUGCUUGGGUUUCA